AAAAAAAAAAAAUCAUCAUCAUCAUCUCUGUCCCACAAUCAUAACCUAGGAAAAACCAGGCCAUACAGAGAUAGGCGCUGAAGGGACACGGAGAGAAGUGACCGGAAGACGAGUGUGAGCCUCUGUCAUGCCCGGACAUGGCCACUAGAGGGCUCCCUGGUCUAGCGGUAGUGCCAGGGCCUGGGAAGGCGCCCGUUACUUAGCAGACGGGAAAGGGAGUCUCCCUUUCACCGGGAGAGUUAGAGAAGACUCUGCUCCACCACCUCUCGUGGAAGGCCUGACAUCCCUCAGGCCCGCCCGCAGCCUCUGGAGGCCUCAACGUCUCCCCGUGAUGCUGUGCUUCAGCGGUCAUGCUCCUGGUCCACUUUCAUGUUCCGCCCUGUACACCUGGCUCUGCCUUCUAGAUAGCAGUAGUAUAAUUAGUGAACGUACUAAGAGUCAUUAAAUUGCAUAGAAGAAAUAAUAGUGUAAGCGGUCCUCUCUCUCUCCGCCUCGGCUGCCAAACAGGGAAGGGCCCCCUGCCUGGUGGACACGUGACUCACGUGACCUUACCAAUCACUGGAGACGGCUCACACUCCUUACCCUGCCCCUUUUGCCUUGUAUCCAAUAAAAGCGCAGCCUGGCAUCCGGGGCCACUACAGGUCUCCGUGACUUGGUGGUAGUGGUCCCCCGGGCCCAGCUGUCUUUUCUAUCUCUUUGUCUUGUGUCUUUAUUUCUAUGAUUUCUCAUCUCCACACACGAGGAGAAAAACCCACAGACGCUGUAGGGCUGGACCCUACAUCUGGCACUCCAACAUGGGGCUCUCCCUCUCUGUGUGAAGUUGCGCCUUGAGUGUGGGACUCAGCGGAGGAUUCUGACGACAGAUUCCUGAGGAUUGCAGUCAAUAAGCUUGGUGUCUGCAGAUGCCUCCAAUGAGUCCAAAGACAAGUUCAAAGUCAACGACAAGCAAUGAUGGCGAUGGUGAUCCUAGUUAAUAAAAAGAGGGGAGAUGUGGGCGGCAAGUCUCCCAGGUGCCAAGGCAAGAGAUCAAGGGCACAAGCUGUUCCAGUAUAAUAAAGAAAAUAUAUAAAGAAAAACCAGGCCAUACAGAGAUAGGAGCUGAAGGGACACGGUGAGAAGUGACCAGAAGACGAGUGUGAGCCUCUGUCAUGCCCGGGCAUGGCCACUAGAGGGCUCCUUGGUCUAGCGGUAAUGCCAGGGCCUGGGAAGGCGCCGGUUACUUAGCAGACUGGGAAAGGGAGUCUCCCUUUCCUUGGGGAGUUAGAGAAGACUCUGCUCCACCACCUCUUGCGGAAGGCCUGACAUCCCUCAGGCCCGCCCGCAGUCAUCCGGAGGCCUCAACGUCUCCCUGUGAUGCUGUGCUUCAGCGGUCAUGCUCCUGGUCCACUUUCAUGUUCCGCCCUGUACACCUGGCUCUGCCUUCUAGAUAGCAGUAGUAUAAUUAGUGAACGUACUAAGAGUCAUUAAAUUGCAUAGAAGAAAUAAUAGUGUAAGCGGUCCUCUCUCUCUCUGCCUUGGCUGCCAAACAGGGAAGGGCCCCCUGCCUGGUGGACACGUGACUCACGUGACCUUAUCAAUCAUUGGAGACGGCUCACACUCCUUACCCUGCCCCCUUGUCUUGUAUCCAAUAAAUAACAGCGCAGCCAGGCAUUCGGGGCCAUUAACGGUCUCCACGUCUAGGUGGUAGUGUUCCCCCAGGCCCAGUUGUCUUUUCUUCUA
Long non-coding RNA from Macaca mulatta (Rhesus monkey), 1719 nucleotides. RefSeq lists it as uncharacterized. NCBI's taxonomy places the organism in Eukaryota, Metazoa, Chordata, Mammalia, Primates, Cercopithecidae. The record is from RefSeq and is a predicted model, not a curated record.